AUACGGAGGAUGCGAGCGUUAUCCGGAUUUAUUGGGUUUAAAGGGAGCGUAGGCGGGAGCUUAAGUCAGCGGUUAAAUGGUGCGGCUCAACCGUGCCCUGCCGUUGAAACUGGGUUUCUUGAGAGUGCAAGAGGCGGAUGGAAUUCAUGGUGUAGUGGUGAAAUGCUUAGAUAUCAUGAAGAACUCCGAUUGCGAAGGCAGUCCGCUGGGGCACGUCUGACGCUGAUGCUCGAAGGUGCGGGAAUCAAACAGGAUUAGAUACCCUGGUAGUCCGCACGGUAAACGAUGAUUACCCGCUGUCGGCGGUAGACAGUCGGCGGCCAAGCGAAAGCGAUAAGUAAUCCACCUGGGGAGUACGCCGGCAACGGUGAAACUCAAAGGAAUUGACGGGG
This 392-nucleotide ribosomal RNA is filed under the name uncultured bacterium. RNAcentral describes it as "partial 16S ribosomal RNA". It matches the Rfam family "Bacterial small subunit ribosomal RNA", at positions 523 to 918 of the family's 1533-position model. The record is from RNAcentral.